AACACUCGGGGGGGGGGGGAGGGGAGGGGUCCCACAGCCCCUCCCCCACCUCAAAAAGGGUCUCACACCCCCCAAAAUCCCCCCAAAAAGGGAACCCCGAAUUUCUCCUCUCUACCCCCUAAACACCUCCCCAAAAAAACCCCAAAUUUUUGGGGUGCCCCUCCCCCACCACCCCAAAUCCUUUCCCCCCCUCCCCCACCCUUAAUUUCCCCUCCCCCACCUCUCGCUACAACCUAUGGGGGUCCCCCCCCCACCCAAAAUCCUAAAAUCUACAAAAAAACCCCCAAAAAAAUUUUGGGGAAGACCCCAAAAAAUUCAGGGGGAAUCCCCCCCCCAAAAAAAAUCAGGAGGGACCCAAAAAAUUUGGGGGGACCCCAAAAAAUCCAGAGAGACCCCAAAAAUUACAGGGAGCCCCCCAAAAAAAAUCCCCCAAAUUUUCCACCAAGGCCUUGGGACCCCCAAAUUUACCCCAAGGGCCCAAAUUUGGGGGGGGGGGGGAUCCCCCCAAAAAUCAGAAUUUUUCUCUUUUUUUGCAUAAAAUUUUGGGGUUUUUUGGCCUUUUUUGGAGCUGGGUUUUAAACGGGGACCCCAAAUUUGUCACCUGGGUGGUCCAGGACCCCAAAAUUUGUCACCCCUAUUUUUUUGGGGGUGGUUCCUCAUCAUUUUGGGGUCAUUUUCCUGCAUUUUGGGGUCAGUGACCAUCCCAGCAGGGUCCAGUGUCCGGUGGUCACUCCCCACCACUCUGGGGUCACUUUGGGGUCAUUUCCCACCAUUUUGGGGUCACUCCCCACCACUCUGGGGUCACUCUGUGGUCACUUUGGCCACCACCCCAGUGGUCACUCUCUCGAUGUCCAGCAGGGUCCAGUGUCCAGUGGUCACUCCAGACCACCCUGGGGUCACUUUGGGGUCAUUUCCCACCACUUUGGGGCCAUUUCCCACCAUUUUGGGGUCAUUCUGGUGGUCACUUCGUGGUCACUUUGGCCUCCUUGCCACCACCCCAGUGGUCACUCCCUCAGUGUCCAGCAGGGUCCAGUGUCCAGUGGUCACUCCCCACCACUCUGGGGUCACUUUGAGGGUCAGUUCGUGGUCACUUUGGCCUCCUCACCACCCCAGGUGUGACCCCUUCAGUGUCCAGGUGUCCAGUGGUCACUCCCCACCACUCUGGGGUCACUUUGGGGUCAGUCCCCAUCAUUUUGGGCUCGUUCUCCACCAUUUUGGGGUCACUUUGUGGUCACUUCAGGCUCGUUGCUGUCCCCACAGUGGUCACUCCCUCGAUGUCCAGCAGGGUCCAGGUGUCCAGUGGUCACUCCCCACCACUUUGGGGUCACUUUGGGCUCCUUGCCAUCACCCUGGUGGUCACUCCCUCAGUGUCCAGCAGGGUCCAGUGUCCAGUGGUCACUCCCCACCACUUUGGGGUCACUUUGGGCCACCCUGGUGGUCACUUGGUGGUCACUUCGCCCUCCUGGCCACCACCCCAGUGGUCACUCCCUCAGUGUCCAGCAGGGAUUCAGUGUCCAGCGGUCACUCCUCACCACUCUGUGGUCACUUUGAGCCACUUUGGGGUGACUUUUAGCCAUUUUGGGGUCACUUUGAGCCACUCUGGGGGUCAUUUCGUGUCAUCCUGGUGGUCACUUGGUGGUCACUCCGCCCUCCUGGCCACCACCCCAGUGGUCACUCCUCACCACUCUGGGGUCACUCCAGACCAUUUCAGGGGUCACUUUGUGCCACUCUGGUGGUCACUUUGUGCCACCCUGGUGGUCACUCCGCCCUCCUGGCCACCACCCCAGUGGUCACUCCAGACCAUUUCAGGGGUCACUUUGUGCCACCCUGGUGGUCACUCCGCCCUCCUGGCCACCACCCCAGCGGUCACCCCCUCACCUGACCCCUCACUCCCCUCCCUCCACCCCCAC
This is an RNA transcript of Serinus canaria (Common canary), 1910 nucleotides long. RefSeq lists it as uncharacterized. The transcript is spliced from 3 exons. The record is from RefSeq and is a predicted model, not a curated record. Lineage: Eukaryota; Metazoa; Chordata; Aves; Passeriformes; Fringillidae.